This 254-nucleotide ribosomal RNA is filed under the name uncultured bacterium. RNAcentral describes it as "partial 16S ribosomal RNA". It matches the Rfam family "Bacterial small subunit ribosomal RNA", at positions 524 to 776 of the family's 1533-position model. The record is from RNAcentral.
UACGUAGGGGGGCGAGCGUUGUCCGGAAUCAUUGGGCGUAAAGCGCGUGUAGGCGGCCCGGUAAGUCCGCUGUGAAAGUCCAGGGCUCAACCCUGGGAUGCCGGUGGAUACUGUCGGGCUCGAGUCCGGAAGAGGCGAGUGGAAUUCCUGGUGUAGCGGUGAAAUGCGCAGAUAUCAGGAGGAACACCGGUGGCGAAGGCGGGUCUCUGGGCCGUAACUGACGCUGAGGAGCGAAAGCGUGGGGAGCGAACAGG